GAGUUUGAUCGUGGCUCAGGAUGAACGCUAGCGGCGCGCCUAAUGCAUGCAAGUCGAGCGAUGAGGCACCUUUGGGUGUACAUCAGCGGCAGACGGGUGAGUAACACGUAGGUGACCUACCCCGAAGACGGGGGAUAACAGGUGGAAACAUCUGCUAAUACCCGAUGGACUCUGAGCGGAAGCGAGGAGUAAAGGCUACGGUGCUUCGGGAGGGCCUGCGGCCUAUCAGCUAGUUGGUAGGGUAACGGCCUACCAAGGCGAAGACGGGUAGGGGUGUGAGAGCACGGCCCCCCACAAUGGGACUGAGACACGGCCCAUACUCCUACGGGAGGCAGCAGCAGGGAAUAUUACGCAAUGGGCGGAAGCCUGACGCAGCGACGCCGCGUGGAUGAAG
RNAcentral lists this ribosomal RNA (394 nucleotides) under uncultured microorganism. RNAcentral's name for it is "bacterial SSU rRNA". It matches the Rfam family "Bacterial small subunit ribosomal RNA", at positions 9 to 410 of the family's 1533-position model. The record is from RNAcentral.